This 253-nucleotide ribosomal RNA is filed under the name uncultured bacterium. RNAcentral's name for it is "partial 16S ribosomal RNA". It matches the Rfam family "Bacterial small subunit ribosomal RNA", at positions 524 to 776 of the family's 1533-position model. The record is from RNAcentral.
UACGGAGGGUGCGAGCGUUGUCCGGAAUCACUGGGCGUAAAGGGCGCGUAGGCGGCCUGGUAAGUAGGGGGUGAAAUCCUGCGGCUUAACCGCAGGGCUGCCUUCUAAACUGUCAGGCUCGAGCACGGUAGAGGCAGAUGGAAUUCCCGGUGUAGCGGUGGAAUGCGUAGAGAUCGGGAAGAACAUCAGUGGCGAAGGCGGUCUGCUGGGCCGUUGCUGACGCUGAGGAGCGAAAGCGUGGGGAGCGAACAGG